AACAUUCUUCCUAAGUUUUCAAGUUCUUUUGAAUAAUGGCACGCAACAAAGUAGACAGAGUUCUAUUUACAACCUCAGUUUGUCCAUCAAUUUGUGGAUGACAAGUAGUAGAAAACAAAAGUUUAGUACCCAACUUAGUCCACAAAGUUUUCCAAAAGUGGCUCAAGAACUUAGCAUCUCGAUCUGAAACUAUGCUCCUUGGUACUCCAUGCAAUCUGACUAUUUCCUUGAAAAAUAAAUUAGCUAUGUUGGUUGCAUCAUCAGUUUUGUGACAUGGAAUGAAAUGUGCCAUCUUUGAAAACCUAUCAACAACAACAAAAACAGAAUCAUUUCCCCUUUUUGACCUAGGUAAACCCAAAACAAAGUCCAUAGAAAUAUCAACCCAAGGUUCACUAGGUAUGAGCAGAGGGUUAUCUGCUGUACCGUACAUCCGCCUUGGCCGUACAGCAGAAUCCCACAAUGAAACUUUCAAUCCUACAAUUAAUUUGUAGUUUCAACUUCCCAAGAAAGUUCUAAACAGAUUUAUGGCAAACAAAAACCUUGACCCAAUGCUUAAGAAAACAUGAACCAAAGGUAUAGAGAAGGGUAUUGACGCCACACUCAAGAAAAAGAUGAGAAGGUGAGUGAUAAGUCUAAAUUUGGAACACCACAAGAAUGUAAAUUCUUGAUAAGUUCACUAGUUCUCAAAAGAACCAAAGAAAGAAUAAUCUUUCAAAUUCAAAAUAACAUUAAUCUCCUUACAUACCAAGGUUGCUGAAUUUAAAUAGGCUAAAAGGAACCCAAGAUCCUAAAAAUACAAAUGGAAACAUUGGAACAACCCUCCAAGUAAGUUUGUCAAAAGAUGUUUCAAAAGUCUUCACCAACCCACCAUGAUCAAUGCUAUCUUUGACAAACUUAAUGCUAGCCUACUAUAAUUAAUGCUAUCAUUGACAAACUUAAUGUUAGCCCACCAUCAUUGAUGGUAGACUUACCUUACACAUUGACAAGCUUGAAACAAAACAAACAAAUAAGUUGAAAAACAAAGGAUUCGUUGAAAAUCCCAAGUCUGAACAAGCUGUAAAGAAUUGGUCAUAACUCCUUCUAGAGAACUCCAAAUCCAGCUCUGUAAAAUGUAUUGGAAAGCUAACUUAAUUAUCUUUCCAAAGGUAUAUACCAGGCUGAAAAACCACUUGUUUACGUCCUUUGUUGGCUUGAGUAGCAUAUUGUUUAGUUCUCUUUUCUAUGUGUUGACGUGUUCUCUCAUGCAAUUGCUUGACAAAUUCAGCUUUCUUUUUACCAUCCAUACUAGCACGUUCAUCAAUAGGUAAAGGUAAUAAAUCCAAAGGAGUUAAUGGAUUAAAACCAUAUACAAUCUCAAAUGGUGAGAAUUUAGUAGCUGAAUGGACAGUUCUAUUGUAAGCAAAUUCAACAUGUGGCAAACAUUCUUCCCAAGUUUUCAAGUUCUUUUGAAUAAUGGCACGCAACAAAGUAGACAGAGUUCUAUUUACAACCUCAGUUUGUCCAUCAGUUUGUGGAUGAAAGUUGUAGGAAACAAAAGUUUAGUACCCAACUUACCCCACAAAGUUUUCCAAAAGUGGCUCAAGAACUUAGCAUCUCGAUCUGAAACUAUGCUCCUUGGUACUCCAUGCAACCUGACUAUUUCCUUGAAAAACAAAUUAGCUAUGCUUGUCUCAUCAUCAGUUUUAUAACAUGGAAUGAAAUGUGCCAUCUUUGAAAACCUAUCAACAACAACAAAAACAGAGUCAUUUCCCCUUUUUGACUUAGGUAAACCCAAAACAAAGUCCAUAGAAAUAUCAACCCAAGGUUCACUAGGUAUGGGCAGAGGGUUAUACAAUCCAUGGGGUAAAACUCUUGACUUAGCAUGUUUACAAGUGAUACACUUCUCACAUAUUCUUUCAACAUCACGUUUCAUAUGUGGCCAAAAGAAGUGUUCUUUUAAAACAUCUAAAGUCUUUGCAAUGCCAAAAUGUCCCAUUAAACCACCCCCAUGAGCUUCACGCACAAGCAAUUCACGCAAAGAACUAUGAGGCACACACAAUUUAUUUUCUCUAAAUAAAAGCCCAUCAUGCUUAUAGAAUUUACCAAAUGCAACUUUCUCACAAGCAUUAAACACAUUAGCAAAAUCAGGAUCGUUAGCAUAUAAUUCUUUAAUGUACUCAAAUCCUAACAACUUUGCAUUUAAUGUAGAGAUAAGUGCAUACCUUCUAGAUAAUGCAUCAGCCACCACAUUCUCCUUACCUUGUUUAUAUUUGAUCACAUAAGGAAAUGGCUCAAUAAAUUCAACCCAUUUGGCAUGUCUCUUAUGUAACUUACCUUGCCCUUUCAAAUGCUUCAAGGACUCAUGAUCAGUGUGUAUAACAAACUCUUUAGGUAGAAGAUAAUGUUGCCAAGUUUCCAAUGUUCUCACCAAUGCAUACAUCUCCUUGUCAUAGGUAGGAUAGUUUAGGGCUGCUCCACUCAAUUUCUCACUAAAGUAAGCAAUUGGAUGCCCUUAUUGCAUCAAAACAGCUCCAAUACCUAUACCUGAAGCAUCACACUCAAUUUCAAAAGUUUUAGUAAAAUCAGGUAAAGCAAGUAACGGUGCAGAAACCAAUUUUUCCUUAAUUAGACUAAAUGCCCUUUCUUGUUCACUACCCA
This 2637-nucleotide long non-coding RNA is filed under the name Citrus sinensis (sweet orange). Its description in RNAcentral is "long non-coding RNA (CSIN_LNC004229)". The record is from RNAcentral. Lineage: Eukaryota; Viridiplantae; Streptophyta; Magnoliopsida; Sapindales; Rutaceae.